GUAGUCGAGCGGAAACGAUGGAGCUUGCUCCAGGCGUCGAGCGGCGGACGGGUGAGUAAUGCAUAGGAAUCUGCCCGGUAGUGGGGGAUAACCUGGGGAAACCCAGGCUAAUACCGCAUACGUCCUACGGGAGAAAGCAGGGGAUCUUCGGACCUUGCGCUAUCGGAUGAGCCUAUGUCGGAUUAGCUUGUUGGUGAGGUAAUGGCUCACCAAGGCGACGAUCCGUAGCUGGUCUGAGAGGAUGAUCAGCCACAUCGGGACUGAGACACGGCCCGAACUCCUACGGGAGGCAGCAGUGGGGAAUAUUGGACAAUGGGCGAAAGCCUGAUCCAGCCAUGCCGCGUGUGUGAAGAAGGCUUUCGGGUUGUAAAGCACUUUCAGUGAGGAAGAAGGCCUUGGGGCUAAUACCUCCGAGGAAGGACAUCACUCACAGAAGAAGCACCGGCUAACUCCGUGCCAGCAGCCGCGGUAAUACGGAGGGUGCGAGCGUUAAUCGGAAUUACUGGGCGUAAAGCGCGCGUAGGCGGCGUGAUAAGCCGGUUGUGAAAGCCCCGGGCUCAACCUGGGAACGGCAUCCGGAACUGUCAGGCUAGAGUGCAGGAGAGG
RNAcentral lists this ribosomal RNA (606 nucleotides) under Halomonas ventosae. RNAcentral describes it as "bacterial SSU rRNA". It matches the Rfam family "Bacterial small subunit ribosomal RNA", at positions 57 to 657 of the family's 1533-position model. The record is from RNAcentral. Lineage: Bacteria; Pseudomonadati; Pseudomonadota; Gammaproteobacteria; Oceanospirillales; Halomonadaceae.